UUGGUUGGUUUAAGAUUGGGCUCGCCGUACCAUUAGCCCAGAUGGUGAGGUAACGCUUCACCAUUAGCAAUGAUGUUUAGGGGGUUUUGAGAGGAAGGCCCCCCACACUGGGGAUGAGACCGGGCCCAGACUCCUACGGGAGGCAGCAGUGAGGAAUAUUGGACAAUGGAUGGAAAUCUGAUCCAGCCAUGCCGCGUGCAGGAAGACGGCCUUAUGGGUUGUAAACUGCUUUUAUACGGGAGCAAUAAGGGUUACGAGUAAUCCGAUGAGAGUACUGUAUGAAUAAGGAUCGGCUAACUCCGUGCCAGCAGCCGCGGUAAUACGGAGGAUCCGAGCGUUAUCCGGAAUUAUUGGGUUUAAAGGGUGCGUAGGCGGCCAUUUAAGUCAGCGGUGAAAUUUUGCAGCUUAACUGUAACAGUGCCGUUGAUACUGUUUGGCUAGGAUUUGGUUGUAGUGUGCGGAAUGUGUGGUGUAGCGGUGAAAUGCUUAGAUAUCACACAGAACACCGAUUGCGAAGGCAGCACACUAAGUCAUUAUUGACGCUGAGGCACGAAAGUGUGGGGAUCAAACAGGAUUAGAUACCCUGGUAGUCCACACUGUAAACGAUGAUAAAUCGCUGUCGGCGAUACACAGUCGGUGGCCAAGCGAAAGC
Molecule: ribosomal RNA, 652 nt
Filed under: uncultured bacterium
Lineage: Bacteria
Description: bacterial SSU rRNA
Rfam family: Bacterial small subunit ribosomal RNA
Source: RNAcentral